GACGAACGCUGGCGGCGUGCUUAACACAUGCAAGUCGAACGGAAAGGCCCUGCUUUUGUGGGGUGCUCGAGUGGCGAACGGGUGAGUAACACGUGAGUAACCUGCCCUUGACUUUGGGAUAACUUCAGGAAACUGGGGCUAAUACCGGAUAGGAGCUCCUGCUGCAUGGUGGGGGUUGGAAAGUUUCGGCGGUGGGGGAUGGACUCGCGGCUUAUCAGCUUGUUGGUGGGGUAGUGGCUUACCAAGGCUUUGACGGGUAGCCGGCCUGAGAGGGUGACCGGCGACACUGGGACUGAGGGACGGCCCAGACGCCUACGGGAGGCAGCAGGGGGGAAUCUUGCACAAUGGGCGGAAGCCGGAUGCAGCAACGCCGCGGGCGGGAUGACGGCCUUCGGGUUGUAAAACGCUUUCGCCUGUGACGAAGCGUGAGUGACGGUAAUGGGUAAAGAAGCACCGGCUAACUACGUGC
Molecule: ribosomal RNA, 469 nt
Filed under: uncultured bacterium
Lineage: Bacteria
Description: partial 16S ribosomal RNA
Rfam family: Bacterial small subunit ribosomal RNA
Source: RNAcentral